UACGAGUGCCUCGAGCGUUAUCCGGAAUCAUUGGGCGUAAAGGGUGUGUAGGCGGUUUUGUUAGUCCUGUGUUAAAUCCUUCGGCUCAACCGAGGGGCUGCAUGGGAAACGGCAAGGCUGGAGGACGGUAGGGGUCAUUGGAACUCAUGGCGUAGCGGUGAAAUGCGUUGAUAUCAUGGGGAACACCGAAAGCGAAGGCAAAUGACUGGACCGCUCCUGACGCUGAGGAGCGAAAGCGUGGGGAGCGAACAGG
This 253-nucleotide ribosomal RNA is filed under the name uncultured bacterium. Its description in RNAcentral is "partial 16S ribosomal RNA". It matches the Rfam family "Bacterial small subunit ribosomal RNA", at positions 524 to 776 of the family's 1533-position model. The record is from RNAcentral.